Molecule: non-coding RNA, 382 nt
Organism: Lonchura striata (white-rumped munia)
Lineage: Eukaryota; Metazoa; Chordata; Aves; Passeriformes; Estrildidae
Source: RefSeq, a predicted model, not a curated record
CGCCCCCCGGCCGCCCCAAUCAUUCCGGACCCGGAGCCGAACCCCUCACUCCAGCCCCCGGCUCUGCAGCUGCCCAGAUGUGGCAGCACAGCUGGAGGAGCUGCAGCAGGUGCAAAUCCUGCCUUUGGCUGCAGAGGUGUUUUGUGUGGAUUUAGCGGGUGAUGCUCGUGGCUGGCAGCCCAGCUCCUUCCCCAUGGACGGUUUUCAAGGACUUCCCUUUGCAGCUGAGGCCGGCCAGCUCGGGCCGCUGGUGCUCGGUGUGCCCACACCAGCCGGGCUCAGCUCCUGCUCCGCUCGCCCGUGCUGGAAGCGGGAGGCGCUGGCCCCCGGGAAGCAGUUAAAGCUGAACUCCAAACAAUAAAAACUUAUCAUUAAAAAGAAA